UGUUUCCUCUGUAUUUUACAUCUUAUUUGAAUACAAGUUCUCCAGGUAGGCGUAGAUGACUUCCUGAAUUUCUGCAGUAUCCACGGUCAGUUCAUCCUUUGCAUUCCUAGUUGGGUAGAUUGGAGUAUUUUCUUUCCUUUUUCGGAAAAAGAAAACACAAACAACAGAAGAAAGAGAAAAACCCCAGGAAAAUAAGAAAUAAUAUGUCCACAUGAGGUGCAGCUCUUCCCUGCUAGCAGCUCUCAAAGCGCAGUCUGAGGACCCUCCGGGACCGCCUGCCAUCUUUGUGUCUACGUGAGUUUGUGCUUCCCUCGUGGACUUCAACCAGAGUGGCUGCGGGAGCAGCUAUGAGAACCCACUCGAUUUUAAGAAGCCAGGCAUUCUGGACAUUUGCAGAAUCGGAAGACUGUGCCUCUCGUUUUGCCAAGUGGGCUCUGCUUUGGAAACUGUAGCUGUUGUGAAAGUUUCACAAAUUAUUCAACCGAGUCCUCAGUUUUACUUUCUACUGCAGUAAAUAUUAGUAACCCAUGUAAGCAACACUCUUUACUGCCUGGAGAGAAAUUUCCUGCUCCUGAAAGUCUUGGGAAGCAGCAGUGGAGGGCAGAUAACAUAGUUAUUUCACACUGCUGGCUCCCCACCCUUUAGAAGCAAAUGAACCCGGGUAAAUUAUUUAUUUGCUGUCCUCCAUUUUUCUUUUCUGUGGGGUAAAUAAAAUAACGCACACAACCCAUUUAGCACACAGUGCAGUCCCAGUAAAUAUGGGUGUUAUCUGAAUCCCACAGAGACUCAGGUAACACUCACCACCCUGCCACUUUUGAUGAUGUGGAAUUGCCAGCCUGAACUUUGCAUCAGGGUGAGGAUUUACCCCAAGGAAAUUGGCAAAACUCAGCAUCCAUUGGUCUCUGUAUUGAUGUUACCUUCCAGAGGGUCAGUUAAUGACCAGCACCCUGACAUAGAACACUCACAGGCAGUGAAAAUUCCAAGAAAAUGUUCACAUCUCUUCAGACAGAGACCUUCUGGGUGUUAUAACCUGCUUUAAGCAUUGCUAUCCUGUUCUGUAAGCAUUGUUACUCUGACCUGUGUUUCAGCUCUAGUUUCUUGUGAAUUAUCCCCUUCCAGAACAGCAAUUUGGUCCUUGAACCAACUGGCCCUUGGCUGUAAAACAUUUGCUGGCCACUGAUUGUAAAAUAUUCUGUCCCAGGACCAACUGGCCCUGGUUGUAAAACAUUUUUGCAGAGAUUAACUCCCUUUUUGUAUAAGCUCCUUCCCCUUUUCCUCUGCUUUACUGUCUUUACCUUUAAAAAACGCCCUGUAACCUAACCUGGUUACACAGUUCUGUAGAUUCCAAUGCAGGCUGUGUCACUGGUACCAGCUAAAAUA
Molecule: long non-coding RNA, 1380 nt
Organism: Cavia porcellus (domestic guinea pig)
Lineage: Eukaryota; Metazoa; Chordata; Mammalia; Rodentia; Caviidae
Exons: 3
Source: RefSeq, a predicted model, not a curated record